This 1400-nucleotide ribosomal RNA is filed under the name uncultured bacterium. RNAcentral describes it as "partial 16S ribosomal RNA". It matches the Rfam family "Bacterial small subunit ribosomal RNA". The record is from RNAcentral.
AGAGUUUGAUCCUGGCUCAGGACGAACGCUGGCGGCGUGCCUAACACAUGCAAGUCGAGCGAAUGAAGUUCCUUCGGGAACGGAUUUAGCGGCGGACGGGUGAGUAACACGUGGGCAACCUGCCUUAUAGAGGGGAAUAGCCUUCCGAAAGGGAGAUUAAUACCGCAUAAGAUUGUAGUACCGCAUGGUACAGCAAUUAAAGGAGCAAUCCGCUAUGAGAUGGGCCCGCGGCGCAUUAGCUAGUUGGUGAGGUAACGGCUCACCAAGGCGACGAUGCGUAGCCGACCUGAGAGGGUGAUCGGCCACAUUGGGACUGAGACACGGCCCACACUCCUACGGGAGGCAGCAGUGAGGAAUAUUGGACAAUGGAUGGAAAUCUGAUCCAGCCAUGCCGCGUGCAGGAAGACGGCCUUAUGGGUUGUAAACUGCUUUUAUACGGGAGCAAUAAGGGUUACGAGUAAUCCGAUGAGAGUACUGUAUGAAUAAGGAUCGGCUAACUCCGUGCCAGCAGCCGCGGUAAUACGGAGGAUCCGAGCGUUAUCCGGAAUUAUUGGGUUUAAAGGGUGCGUAGGCGGCCAUUUAAGUCAGCGGUGAAAUUUUGCAGCUUAACUGUAACAGUGCCGUUGAUACUGUUUGGCUAGGAUUUGGUUGUAGUGUGCGGAAUGUGUGGUGUAGCGGUGAAAUGCUUAGAUAUCACACAGAACACCGAUUGCGAAGGCAGCACACUAAGUCAUUAUUGACGCUGAGGCACGAAAGUGUGGGGAUCAAACAGGAUUAGAUACCCUGGUAGUCCACGCCGUAAACGAAGAGUGGUAAGUAUCGGUAGAAUCGGGGCCUUAGCUAACGCAGUAAGCACUCCGCCUGGGGAGUACGGUCGCAAGGCUGAAACUCAAAAGAAUUGACGGGGACUCGCACAAGCGGUGGAGCAUGCGGUUUAAUUCGAUGCAACGCGAAGAACCUUACCAGGUCUUGACAGUGUAAAGAAUACUUAAGAGAUUAAGGGCUAAGAAUUAAGCUUGCUUAUUUCACUUUAUAAACAGGUGGUGCAUGGUUGUCGUCAGCUCGUGUCGUGAGAUGUUGGGUUAAGUCUCGCAACGAGCGCAACCCUUAUUGCUAGUUGCCAUCAUUAAGUUGGGCACUCUAGCAAGACUGCCGGUGACAAAUCGGAUGAAGGUGGGGAUGACGUCAAAUCAUCAUGCCCCUUAUGAGCUGGGCUACACACGUGCUACAAUGGACGGUACAACGGGUAGCGAGGGCGCGAGCCUUAGCAAAUCCUAAUAAGCCGUUCUCAGUUCGGAUUGUUCUCUGCAACUCGAGAGCAUGAAGCCGGAAUCGCUAGUAAUCGCGGAUCAGAAUGCCGCGGUGAAUACGUUCCCGGGUCUUGCACUCACCGCCCGUCA